AGUGAACGCUGGCGGUAGGCCUAACACAUGCAAGUCGAACGGCAGCACAGUAAGAGCUUGCUCUUACGGGUGGCGAGUGGCGGACGGGUGAGGAAUACAUCGGAAUCUACUUUUUCGUGGGGGAUAACGUAGGGAAACUUACGCUAAUACCGCAUACGACCUACGGGUGAAAGCAGGGGAUCUUCGGACCUUGCGCGAUUGAAUGAGCCGAUGUCGGAUUAGCUAGUUGGCGGGGUAAAGGCCCACCAAGGCGACGAUCCGUAGCUGGUCUGAGAGGAUGAACACCCACAGGGGAACGGAGACGGGGUCAAGCAUCCUAGGGGAGGCAGAAGUGGGAAAUAUGGGACAAGGGGCGCAAGCUGGAUCCAGACAUCCGGCGUGGGGAAAGAAGCCUUGGGGGUUUAAAAGCCUUUUUGUGGGAAAAAAAAAGCAGAAGGUAAAUACCCCGCUGUUCGGAGGGAACCAAAAAAAUAAGAACCGGAAAACUUCGGG
This 492-nucleotide ribosomal RNA is filed under the name uncultured bacterium. Its description in RNAcentral is "partial 16S ribosomal RNA". It matches the Rfam family "Bacterial small subunit ribosomal RNA", at positions 29 to 507 of the family's 1533-position model. The record is from RNAcentral.